GUCUUGAGUACAGUAGAGGUGGGCGGAAUUCGUGGUGUAGCGGUGAAAUGCUUAGAUAUCACGAAGAACUCCGAUUGCGAAGGCAGCUCACUGGACUGCAACUGACACUGAUGCUCGAAAGUGUGGGUAUCAAACAGGAUUAGAUACCCUGGUAGUCCACACAGUAAACGAUGAAUACUCGCUGUUUGCGAUAUACAGUAAGCGGCCAAGCGAAAGCAUUAAGUAUUCCACCUGGGGAGUACGCCGGCAACGGUGAAACUCAAAGGAAUUGACGGGGGCCCGCACAAGCGGAGGAACAUGUGGUUUAAUUCGAUGAUACGCGAGGAACCUUACCCGGGCUUAAAUUGCAUUUGAAUAUAUUGGAAACAGUAUAGUCGUAAGACAAAUGUGAAGGUGCUGCAUGGUUGUCGUCAGCUCGUGCCGUGAGGUGUCGGCUUAAGUGCCAUAACGAGCGCAACCCUUAUCUUUAGUUACUAACAGGUCAUGCUGAGGACUCUAGAGAGACUGCCGUCGUAAGAUGUGAGGAAGGUGGGGAUGACGUCAAAUCAGCACGGCCCUUACGUCCGGGGCUACACACGUGUUACAAUGGGGGGUACAGAAGGCAGCUACCUGGUGACAGGAUGCUAAUCCCAAAAGCCUCUCUCAGUUCGGAUCGAAGUCUGCAACCCGACUUCGUGAAGCUGGAUUCGCUAGUAAUCGCGCAUCAGCCAUGGCGCGGUGAAUACGUUCCCGGGCCUUGUACACACCGCCCGUCAAGCCAUGAAAGCCGGGGGUACCUGAAGUACGUAACCGCAAGGAGCGUCCUAGGGUAAAACUGGUAAUUGGGGCUAAGUCGUAACAAGGUAGCCGUACCGGAAGGUGCGGCUG
Molecule: ribosomal RNA, 867 nt
Filed under: gut metagenome
Description: bacterial SSU rRNA
Rfam family: Bacterial small subunit ribosomal RNA
Source: RNAcentral